CAGGAGGGAGGUACAAUAAUAGUUUCUAAUUUAUAGAUAAGGAAAUUGAGGUUCAGAAAGAUUAAGCCGUUUGUCAAGGUCACACAACUAGUAGGUAACAGAGCAAAUAAUUAUGGAUCAAAAGCUCUUUUUACCGAGGCAGGUAGAAGAUGAGGUAGCUGGUGAAGCUUUGAGCCCCUCAGCCGGUGGGGAAACUGAGUCCUUUGGGUACCAAGGGGACUUUCCCAGGCUUCUUGAGUUAGUCAAAGAGAUUGCUGGGGACAAAACCUAUGUGUUCCAGCCCUAACCACUAGACCACACGGCCUCUCCAUGGCUUGAGCUGGGAAGGUCCAAAGAGAAACUCCCUUUCCAGCCCCAGCCUGGAGUGUAGACUCUUCCCCUGCUAACAGGCUGGCCCUGUGGAGGCCGGGCUGGGCCAGGGUGCCGUGGGGGAUGCUGGGGGGUUUCUGCCCACACAUAUGGUUUCCAGAUUCCAGGGGAUGAAAAGGAGGCCCUUAGGGGCGGAAAUGGGGGAUGUGCGAUGACAAAUUUAGACUGAUUGCGUUAAAAAAAAACGCCGAGAAACCCUAAAAAAUAAAAGCAAAAAUUCCGCUAGAAAACCAAAGGGAAUUAUUUGAUUGUGAAACUGAGGGCGGUGAGGCGCAGCACGGUUUAAUGUAGAACAGUAUCAAGGGUUCUUCGGACUUCAACUGCUCAGAGGAUGGAGGGAGAUGGGGAGGUUCUGUCUGCUGUUCCUGGCUUCACCCGCUGGGCUUUGGGACAGGGAUGGAGUUGGGCAGGGCACCUGGGCGGAUGUCUGGUGUCAGGAGCACUUGGUGGUGGUGGGGGCUCUCCUGAAAGGCUUGGGCCCUCCAGAUAGCUAGACUCCAAGGGUCCUGCUGGCUUGUGGCCGAGGGUCCCCACUGGCUCACAUAGGGAGCUGCCCCAGGGGAGGCCCCAGUGGGUCUGUACCUGAGAGCAUGUGAAAGGAUGAGCUAUAAGGUAGGGGUUUGGGGUGUCUCCUAGUCCCAGGCUUAAAGGGAAAUGGCCAGGAACAGAAGGUAAAAGAGAGGACAGCUGCCUGGAAUUCUGGCCUGUAGCAGGCCUAAGGGGUCAAAGGUCAAGGGGAGGACAAGGGGGACUUCCUAAGGUUCCCAGGGGACUGCCAGCCAAACAGGCAGCCAGCAAGCCAGGCUGUUGUGCAAGUUCUGGGCUGGACCAUGAGGGCAGGCUGGCAGAAGAGCCACGCCUGGCCCAGCCCCCGCCCGGCCUAUCCGAUCCAUGCUCUGGAGCUGGAGUAGUGCCCACUCGCCCACUCUCCUCCAGGAAAGCAGGACUCCGCCCCCCCCCAAGGUAACACUCCUGUCCCUCUGCGGCCAUAUUCUAUAUGCCUGAGGGCUUCCUCUCUCAUACCCAUCCUGAGCCUCUCUUCCCCAGAAUCGUGGUCUUUUGAGAAACCAGAAAAACCUUCUCAAUUAAGCCUCUUUCUUCUGACUCCACUCUGAUUCCCCGAGAGAUGAGAGGGGUUUUUGAGGGCAGAGCCACGACAGGGGUCAUGGGGUCCCAGAGGAAUGAGGCUCAGAGAAAGUGGAAGAGAAGCAAGCCGACAGGAAGUGCUCAGCGGGCAGGCCCUGGGCUGAUUUUGUAGAUGCGCUGCCCUCUCUCCUUGAAGCUUCACUUGGGUCUCUCAAGGUCUGUUCUAUUUAUUCACAUUUUAUAGGUGAAGAAGUUGAGGUUCUGAGGAUGUGAUUAAACAGACAGCUGAUACACGGCAGAGCAGAGAGUUGCACUUGCUCUUUCCAGAUCACCUCCCUGUCCCUCAGCUCGACCCACUUUGGCUGGAGAUGGAGAGGGAGCACAAGGAAGGCCUAGGACAGCGUUUGGUUCCCAGUGGUCAUGGGAUCACUGCUGACUGAUGCUGAAUCUCGUGGAGAAGGGACUGGAUCCUGGAUGGAGCUUUGUGUCAGCUACCAAGUUCUCCUCUUACAUUCAGCAUCUGUAAAAUCAGGAGGUGGAGGAGAAAGCUGAGGGCUCCAGCUGCCCAAGAACUAGAACUAUCUAGCAUCUUCUUUCUCUCCUACUGCCCACCCGAGGCCUGCCUCUCACCACUGUUCAUCCUCAACCUGCUGCAGGGCCCAGCCUGGCUCCAUGUAAGCAAAGCUGCCAGCAGGGUCCUUUGUGGUGCUGCUCCCGUGUGGCACUGCCUAGGGGCCCCACCAUGGGGCAACAGAUGGACCUAUGGUCUCUACAGAACAAUAGUGGGGGAGGGGCCCUGGCAUCGCCCGCCCCAAACAGGAAGCGCUGCAUGAGCUUCAAAGAACUGGCAGGGCCAAGGGGCUGAGUGGCUGGAGCCAGUGCCAGGACCGGCGGCUGCCUGAAGAGAUGCCUGCCAGCCUCAGGAUGCCCAGCCUGCAGUGGGGGUGGGGCUGCAGUGGCCAGGGCAGCUGGGUCUCCGGCAGAGGAGGCUUUGCACCCUCAGUGAAGCAGCCACUGACCUGAGACAGGCUGAGGGAAGGGGGCUCAGACACCAGGCUGUUUCCUGGACCUGCUGCCACUAGCUAGCGGGGCUGCAGGUUCUUUCCCAGGCCACAGUGGGUCUGGCCCUCCAGCAAG
RNAcentral lists this long non-coding RNA (2592 nucleotides) under Equus asinus (donkey). RNAcentral's name for it is "lncRNA (ENSEASG00005032168.1)". Lineage: Eukaryota; Metazoa; Chordata; Mammalia; Perissodactyla; Equidae. The record is from RNAcentral.